This 3903-nucleotide unclassified non-coding RNA is filed under the name Leptinotarsa decemlineata (Colorado potato beetle). RNAcentral's name for it is "g patch domain-containing protein 11, transcript variant X6". The record is from RNAcentral. Lineage: Eukaryota; Metazoa; Arthropoda; Insecta; Coleoptera; Chrysomelidae.
UAAAAUGAUGUAUUUGAAUACGGUAAAAAACCUGAUUUCCAUGUAAGGUUUUUCACCGUUUAGCCUAAUAAAACCUAAAUAUUUUCAAGUUCAGAAACGAUGUGACAACACGGCAUAUAGCAGUGGACACACGGUGCUGUGGAAGUUAAAUUGUUAGGUUGUUGAGGAAAGACGUUUAAAUACGCAAUAAGUCAUCCAAUGCAUGUUAAGUUUUUUUGCUCCACUUCCAAAUUCAAAGACACCACAGUUGGCGACGAGAAAAAAGUGAUAGAAGUAUUGUAAAAUAUUACAAGUUAUUAUAAAUCGCGAACUUGUGAGAACGAAAGAAACUAGUGAUAAAAAAAUGCAUCGUACACGUUGAUCGGAAAUAUGCGAGAAUUUUGGUUUCAAGAUUCGGACUGGAGUAUUUUCAAAGCAACAUUGUGGCAAUAUUUCCUUGCAAAUAAGUCGACGGAAAGUGAUGUGAAGAGAACUAUUCUUCUGAAUGCGUGCGAUGAAGAAGCCUAUAGGUUGAUUCAUAGUCGUUGACUUCCUGAAAGUCCAGAAGAAAAAAGUACGAGGAACUAGUGGAAUUGUGUGACAAACACAGUCAGUGCUUUUGCGGCGAGAUAUAAAGUUUAUAGUGCCGUUAAAAAUUAAGUUGAAACAGUUCAUCAGUGGGCAGCGAGAGUAAAAUGUUGAGUUGGAAAGUGUUCCUUUGAAACCGAACUCAAUGUACUUUUACGUGACAAAUUUAUCAAGCGGCUUGACGAUCCUUCGUUGAUGCAAAAAAUUUUCAAUGAAAAAAAUCACAGUGGAAUUCGACAAGGUCAUAGAAUUAGUGAGCUGCCAAGUUGAAAAAACCAGACUUAAAAAACAGCCUACGAGUGAAGGAAGUUUUUUAUAAACACAUGGGUCAACGGAAUCCACAACAUUGAAAUCGUCAGAGCUUUGACAAGCAAGGUCAAGUAGUAGAGUCAUGACAUCUUCAACCGGCAGAGGAAGGUCGACGAAACACAUGGCAACAAGGAGUCGGAUAUCAUAUGACGGGUCUACAUCUGUAAUACCAUAAAAAAAAGAGAAGAAGAAGAAGUGUCAAACGUGAUCAUAUAAAAGAUAAGUGUUUUUUCAAAUAUUCAUGUAAUAUUUGUAAACAAAAGGUUCAUUUACCGAAAAUAUGUAGACGAAAUAGAAAUAUUUUUUUUGCUGAGUAAUACAGGUUGUUAUAACGGUGGCACCAUACAUUUGGAGUUGAAAGAAGGAGCACAGCCAAAGUUUUUCAAGCAUUUACAUUUGCUAUGCGUGAAGGCGUUGAACAAGAAUUGAAGCAACUUUUGGAUGAAGGUAUUCUGAGUCCAGUGUGACACAGCGAUUGAGCAUCAUCCAUCGUUCCAGUAGUUAAGAAAGGUGAAGGAUUUAGAAUAUGCGGUGAUUUUAAGGUUACCCAGUCUUACAAGCUGACAAAUGAUGAAUUAUUUUGUUAGUUACAAGGGGGACUGGAGUUUACUAAAAUUGACUUUGCCAAUGCUUAAGAACAAGUUGAAGUCUACGCUGACUUUAGAUUGCCAACAACAAUAAGUUAGGGGUAAUUUGUUUAUAUUAGGUUACCUUUUGGGAUUACGAACUCUCCGGCUAUUUUUCAGGCAAUAAUGGAAAAAAAUUAGCUGGUAUAGAAGGAGUAACCUGUUUUCUUGAUGAAGUUCUGAUAACAGGGCGCAAUCGCUCAGAGAAUGUAUAGGAUCCCAGAAGUUCUUAAAAGAUUUGAAAAUAGAGCGUUAAAAAUAUCUAUAAACAAAUGUGAGUUUUUCAAAGAGUCCGUGAAAUAUUUGAGAUACAAAAUUGAUAAUAAAGGGUUGCAUGCAUGUAAUGAUGAAGUUAAAACAGUUUUGGAAAUUUCUUAUUAAUAUCAAUGCUAAAUGUCUUCUAACUAUAUUUGGAAAUAAGGACUUGUCUAUUUUAGCAGCACAUAGAUUGCAGCAGAGGGUUAUAUUUAGUUAUACCUACGAGACUGAAUAUGUAAAGUCGUUGAAUAAUCAAGCUGAUUUUUUUCAAAGAUGACAAUAAAUGAAGAAGCAAAUGAAAGUGAAUGCUCUAAUCUAGAUUCAAAAUUCAUGUCUUCAAAUAAUGAUUUAUCCAUUGAUUAGAAAUAAAUUACAGUUUAAACAAUGAAGGAUUCAGAAAUAGAGGAGGUUUGCAGGCAUGUAAGACUGGGACGGCCAAAAUCGCUGAAAAUACAGUUAAAACAGUAUGCUAACUCUAAAAACAGUUUUUCUUUUUAUGAUGGAUGUUUGAUGCUGGGUCAUAAGACUGUCAUUCCAGCCUCUCUUAGGGGUAUUUUUUUGAAAAACCUUCAUUCAACACAUUUGGGCAUGGUUAAAUGUAAAAGCUUAGCUCGUUCUUAUGUAUGGUGGCCUUACAUACAUUUAGAUAUUGAAAAUAUGGUCAAAAGCUGUAAAUAUUGUAUAAAAAUUCAAAAUUCUCCUGCAAAAUUCCGCUACAGACUUGGGAAUUUCCAAAGAAACAUUGGUAUAGAGUACAUAUUGAUUAUGCAGGUCAUAUUUUUCAGAAAAAAAUAUAUUUUAGUGUUGAUUGAUGCAGGUAGUAACUGGCCUGAAGCUAUUUCAAAAUGUAAUAUUUAGUCAUGUAAUACUAUCAGUCUUUCAAGGGAAAUUUCUCCAUUUCACCUCGAGUCCAAUGGAUAGGCUGAAAACUUUGUAAAAGCUUUGUUCAAAGUUUCAAAAUAAGGCAAUUCAAAACAUUUGAGUCUAGUUUGCUUUUCUAUAGAAUAACACCUCAUUGCACAACAAUGGUAUCUCCAGCACAGUUGAUGCUGAAUGGGAAUCCCAGAUCUGUUUUGGAUUUUGUACGUAAAUAUGAUGGAAAUUAGAGUCGUAAAUAUAAGCUAAACAAUGAUGUAAAAAAUUGGGUUAAUAAGAAGGAUAUAAAGGGAUUAUGUGAAUCAAAACAAACUUAGUUGGAUUGAGGGUAACAUAACUCUCUCCGGUUUUCAAAACCCAAUAAGUUCACUUGCCUCAAUCGUGAACAAAUAUAUAAAUAUGUCAAUAAUAUAAUGAGAAACUAUUAUAGUUUGGUGUUAGGGAAAUGCAAUUCAGCACCUUAAACUAUUCAAGAUUAGAAACGUAUACACAUACACACACAAACUGUUCUGGUAUGUAUCAUGUUUAUGAACAUCUUUCAUCACACUGAAAUUUAAAAGAAAUUAAUUCAUUUUCAAUAAAAAGGUAGAAUUUACAAAUUCUGGAUUUAUAAAUAGUUUCUGUAUCCAAUAAUUUAUUAGGUUCAUAUAAAUUUCAGUUGAAACCAGAUAAUCUGAUUUAAAAGUACAUUUUAUCGAUUUACUUUGCAAACCUUCUAAUGGCUAUUGAAUUUUGCAAAUUUGAGUUUACUAGGUUUUGAGAACAGAAAAGAUAGUUUUUUUGAAAAAAUAACCAUCGGGUUAUUCCAUUUUUGAGAAAUUUCGAUCAUAACUUAUGCAUGAAUAUGGCAAGUUACUGACAAACAGGACUCUUGUAUAACACAGUAACUUAUUGGGUGAAUACUUCAAUUUGCCACCCGUCGCAUUUCAGCAGCACUUCUAGUGAUUUAACUUUGUAUUCAGAUUGUGGAAGGUUGCAGAUCCAAAAAAAAACAGUAAAAAAUAUCGACUUCUUCAUAGUGGAGUAUAGGAUUUUCAACUAAAAUUUGAAAUAUCGACUCCCCCAUAUUGAAUAUUUCAUUUACAGUUUUUGGGUAUAAGAUUUUCAAGUAAAACUUGAAAUGACACCCCCAUAAUGAAUAUUUUAUUUAGGUUUUUUGAAGUAUAAGAAUUUCAACUAAAACUUGAAAUAUCGACUCCCCCAUAGUGAAUAUUUUAUUUACAGUUUUUGAAGUAUGAGAUUUUCAACUGAAACUUGAAAUAUCGAC